Molecule: microRNA precursor, 90 nt
Filed under: Marmota monax (woodchuck)
Lineage: Eukaryota; Metazoa; Chordata; Mammalia; Rodentia; Sciuridae
Source: RNAcentral
AAUGGAAUUGCUGGGUCAUAUGGUAAUUCUCUAAUAAUUUGAAGCACUCAUACCAUAGUGGCUGUACCAUUUUACAUUCCUACCAGCAGU